This 253-nucleotide ribosomal RNA is filed under the name uncultured bacterium. RNAcentral describes it as "partial 16S ribosomal RNA". It matches the Rfam family "Bacterial small subunit ribosomal RNA", at positions 524 to 776 of the family's 1533-position model. The record is from RNAcentral.
UACGAAGGGGGCUAGCGUUGUUCGGAAUCACUGGGCGUAAAGCGCACGUAGGCGGAUCUUUAAGUCAGGGGUGAAAUCCCGAGGCUCAACCUCGGAACUGCCUUUGAUACUGUCGAUCUGGAGUAUGGAAGAGGUGAGUGGAAUUCCGAGUGUAGAGGUGAAAUUCGUAGAUAUUCGGAGGAACACCGGCGGCGAAGGCGGCACUCUGGGCCGGUACUGACGCUGAGGCACGAAAGCGUGGGGAGCAAACAGG